AGGUUUCCCUCUGGAGAAAAAUACUUCAGAAUAUGGUUAUGAUGACACUGGAUUAUCCUAUGAGAACCUCAACAAGGACAACCCAACAACUGUAUCUGAGAGACAUGGAGAAGAACAUGGAUAUGACGAUGUGGAUCUUAAUGAUUUGACUCAUCCUUUGAACCCUGAAGAAACACUCGGAGCACAUGACAGUAAAGACGAGUUGGGACCAUCUUGGGAAGACUUUACUGACAAACAUGAUGAUCAAAAGGCUUCCAUAUCCGACAAUCAAGACAAAGUUCCUCUC
Bufo bufo (common toad) is the source of this 286-nucleotide long non-coding RNA. RefSeq lists it as uncharacterized. NCBI's taxonomy places the organism in Eukaryota, Metazoa, Chordata, Amphibia, Anura, Bufonidae. The record is from RefSeq and is a predicted model, not a curated record. The transcript is spliced from 3 exons.